GACGAACGCUGGCGGCGUGCCUAAUACAUGCAAGUCGAACGCAUUUUCUUUCACCGUAGCUUGCUACACCGAAAGAAAAUGAGUGGCGAACGGGUGGGUAACACGUGGGUAACCUGCCCAUCAGCGGGGGAUAACACUUGGAAACAGGUGCUAAUACCGCAUAAUUCCAUUUACCGCAUGGUAAAUGGAUGAAAGGCGCUUUUGCGUCACUGAUGGAUGGACCCGCGGUGCAUUGGCUAGUUGGUGGGGUAACGGCCUACCAAGGCUGCGAUGCAUAGCCGACCUGAGAGGGUGAUCGGCCACACUGGGACUGAGACACGGCCCAGACUCCUACGGGAGGCAGCAGUAGGGAAUCUUCGGCAAUGGACGCAAGUCUGACCGAGCAACGCCGCGUGAGUGAAGAAGGUUUUCGGAUCGUAAAACUCUGUUGUUAGAGAAGAACAAGGAUGAGAGUGGAAAGUUCAUCCCUUGACGGUAUCUAACCAGAAAGCCACGGCUAACUACGUG
RNAcentral lists this ribosomal RNA (507 nucleotides) under uncultured bacterium. RNAcentral describes it as "partial 16S ribosomal RNA". It matches the Rfam family "Bacterial small subunit ribosomal RNA", at positions 28 to 507 of the family's 1533-position model. The record is from RNAcentral.